Molecule: long non-coding RNA, 2640 nt
Filed under: Triticum aestivum (bread wheat)
Lineage: Eukaryota; Viridiplantae; Streptophyta; Magnoliopsida; Poales; Poaceae
Description: long non-coding RNA (TAES_LNC015944)
Rfam family: MIR1120/MIR1122 microRNA precursor family (bases 244-328)
Source: RNAcentral
AAAAAGCAAGCAGACUACUGAUAUUUGCAUUAUAACUGCACGUGUAAAUAUAGAUUGCUCAAAACAUUUCCCCUCGAUGGUUUUAAUAAGGUCAUAUUCCUGAUCGUACAUACAUGUUCUGGUACUCUAGGAAAUACAGUAUGUGAUCAAAGCUUAUUCUGAGCGUAUAUGCAAAUAAAUAACAACGUAGAUGUGUUGUGCACCUAUGAGUACAACUAUACAUGCCAGCAAGGACCAUAUAUCCUACUCCCUCCGUCCCAUAAUGUAAGACGUUUUUUGACACCACUAGUGUGAAAAAACGUCUUACAUUAUGGGACGGAGGGAGUACUACUCUACAACUUGAGCCGCCUAUACAUACAUAUUACAUCUGUGGUCUUGUCUGGACUACGUAGAUCUUCCCAUCCUUCACUACUCCCUCAAUAUCCUGCGGUGACCCAUAGAGCUCCUCGAUGGCGUGGCCAGCCCGUGCAAUGCUUGAGAGGAUUGAGCUCCGGAAUCCAGAGUCAGUGAUGAGAGGGUCGGUCGUGUAGUCGAGUACAACUUCAUCUUCCACAUCCAUAGGGACACUGAAACAGGCACACUCCUUAGCUGUAAUACUAAAUGAAUUUUCAAGCAUUUGCGUAAAGCAAGUCUCAUGAAGGAUUUUCACUAACCUAUCAUACAGCCCUGCUCCAGCGUAACCUUCCAGAUCCUCACCAUUAGAGUCUGAACGGAAGAUGAUUGACCGCUUUAUGAAGAGACCAAUUGGCUUGCUAGGGUAACCGAGUACCUAUUAAUGCGCUACAUUCAGCUCAGCAAGAAUUUAACAUGUGAAAAAACUAAGAUACUCAAGAUAUUCUCACCUUGGGAGAGUCGAGGUCAUCUUUCUUACACACGAAGCUCAUGGCACGGCCAGGAUAAGCUCCCACAAGUGUUUCUCCAAGUCCUUUCACCACUUCAGCAUAUAUCUCAGAAGAAUCUCCAGAUGACGGGUUCGUAGUAUGAAUAACAAAGGCAUAGUCUGCGUUGACAAUUUCUUGUACAAGAACAGCCAUGGAAAGGUACUCAUGAUCGAGCUUCACCUUGCGGGUGCUAAAAUAUGCUCUUUCAUUCCAUUUUGAUGCCCAAACCUAAAAUAGAAAUUAUGUGAGAUGUCGAAAUCCCCCACUCAGAACGAAUUCACUCACCCACUAAUUUAUCAUAAUCAAAUGCUCUGAUCUCUAUAAUAGAUCUAUCUAAGCUUUGGGGACAAAUGAUCCAAGAAGAUCCAAUUUAUGUAGGUAAGUCCAUGGCGUUUCUAAUGACAUCAAAACUCAGAGAUGUGCAUUCUGGAUCCUUCACUGGUAUGAGUGUCAGGAGAGCAGACCUUUUUAAUUGCCAUCCAUGCUUGCUCCCAACGGUGGUCACUUUCAUCUCCAGGCCAGGGCAUUCCGGAGCUUAGCAUCUUCUCCUUCAGCUCCUUAACCUGUAAAGGGAAGUAUAGAAAAAGUGAGAUAAACAAGGUUUCAAAUUGCAAUGAAUGCAAAUAGAAUUUAUAAUUAUUUUUUGUUUAAGAAAACUGUGGGGAAAACCCCGACAAUAUAAAUAGGAACCUAAAUUUAUGUCGUAAGGAGUGAGGACUUGAGCCCAUGUGGUGGGACUGUAUCCACUCUCUCACUUCUUACUACCGCUGACAAAAAAAUACUUUAAAGGACAGAUCCAGUGCUAGAAGCUCCCACACCGGGUGGGGUCUGGGGAAGGAUUAUACGAGCCUCCCCCCUGCACAGUGCAAUGCAGAGAGGCCGCAUCAAACCCAGGACCUCUUGGCACAAGUGGGGAGUACUUCACCACUGCGUCAGGACUGUCCUUAAAAAAAAAUCUAUCGGAUUUAAAUCUUUAACUUAAUUCUUCUAAAGAUCUGGGUACGUGGCGGUCCGUUCACCUCUUAAGUUUCUUUAUACUCUUUUAAAGAUCUGAGUUGGUGGUGGCCCGUUUACCUCUUACGUUAUUAAGAAUCGUCACAUUUGUUAUCCAUUUUAUGAGGGAUAUACAUAUGGUUGGAUUCAAUUGAUGUAUAUUCUGAGAUUUUUUUUUUCUAUUUUGUACAAACUUAUGGACUACGUGGCGCAAGCGUUUAAACAACUGAUAAUAGUAUAUAACAAAAUUAAAUUCCAUAGACAAAGCACAAGCAUUUAGCUACUUGCAAUGUUAUAUCUUACCAGUUGAGUUGGAGCAGUUAGAUUAAGAACAGUUUUCCGGAUUUCUCCUAGAGCACUAAAAUCUUCUUGAGCAAGUCUGCCCUUCAGCAUCUGUAUGUUUUGUGCUACUUCCUGCCAUCAAAGGACGGAACAAUCAGUUGGCUCAUUGCCUGGAAGAUCAUUACUUAUUUCAAGUGUACUUUUGUGAUAACAUCAUAACAAUGUAUGAGAAUAAUAAAUUAAAAAAUCAUUAUUGUGCUAGCAACUUUUUGUAUUGGACAGGCAGAUGAAACAGAUUUCUCUAACCACUGUAUAAACCGAGUGAUACGGUGCUACCAUUCACUUAUUUAAUUUCAAACAAGAACCACCAACCUUAUUGGUCUCAUCAGACAAUAUCUUCUCAAAGGUCCCAAAUGGUAUCGCAACUGAUGUUGGGAUACCAACCCAUGAAGGUACUUUUCCUUUCAGGUAUGCUAUGUUGCGG